GUCUAAGGCCCACGCCACCCUGAACGAGCCGGAUCCCGUCCGGUCUCGGAAGCUAAGCAGGGUCGGGCCUGGUUAGUACUUGGAUGGGAGACCACCUAGGAAGACCAGGUGCCGUAGGCC
Molecule: ribosomal RNA, 120 nt
Filed under: Pteropus alecto (black flying fox)
Lineage: Eukaryota; Metazoa; Chordata; Mammalia; Chiroptera; Pteropodidae
Source: RNAcentral